This 791-nucleotide long non-coding RNA is filed under the name Homo sapiens (human). RNAcentral describes it as "non-protein coding LINC00909:16". Lineage: Eukaryota; Metazoa; Chordata; Mammalia; Primates; Hominidae. The record is from RNAcentral.
GAAGGACUUCCGGUGGCUUCCAAGGCGACUCCGUAGUGGAUGCAGCGCCGGACGCCACAGCCGAAAAACAGAAUCUUGGAACUGGUUUAGUACAAUCCAGCCAACGAGUGGAUAAAGAAAAUGUGAUAUAUAUGCACUAUGGAAUACUAAGCCAUAAGAAGGAAUGAAAUAAUGGCAUUUGCAGCAACCUAGAUGGAGUUGGAGACCAUUAUUCUAAGUGAAGUAACUCAAGAAUGGAAAACCAAAUAUUGUAUGUUCUCACUCGUAAGUGGGAGCUAAGCUGCGAAGAUGCAAAGGCAUAAGAAUGAUAUAGUGGACUUUGAGGACUCAAGGGUUGAAGGAUGAGACUACACAUUGGGUACAGUGUGCACUGCUUGGGUGAUGAGUGCACCAAAAUCUCAGAACUCACCACUGAAGAACUUCCCCAUGUAACCAAAAACCACCUGUUCCACAGAAACUAUCGAAAUAACAUUUUUAAAACUUUACUAUUUCUGAAUAAAAUUUACAUACAUUUCUCAGAAAAAAAAAUAUUUGGAAUUGAGGUAUCUAAUAGAGAACUGAGUUAAAUUAUUGCCACUUAAAAACACAAAGUGAUAUAGCCACUUUAUGAAUUAAUCAGUCAGCAGUGGCUAGGUUAUGCUUAGUGGUUUAUAACCAAAUCUUAGUUUAUAACAACAAAUGUGUAUUGUUAAUUCCCACUACAAGUUUAUAACGACAUUGCUGGAUGCUACACUCCAUGUCUCUUUGUGGGACCCAGGCUCAUGGGACUUCUGUUACCUGCAUUAGAGAGA